RNAcentral lists this ribosomal RNA (452 nucleotides) under uncultured bacterium. RNAcentral's name for it is "partial 16S ribosomal RNA". It matches the Rfam family "Bacterial small subunit ribosomal RNA", at positions 28 to 507 of the family's 1533-position model. The record is from RNAcentral.
GAUGAACGCUGGCGGCGUGCCUAACACAUGCAAGUCGAGCGAUUUACUUCGGUAAAGAGCGGCGGACGGGUGAGAAACGCGAGGGGAACCGGCACUCUACACACAGCUGACAUCCCGAACGGUAUGACCAUACGAGAGAGUGUGCUAUUAUCGAUUGGUAGAGGUCUUAAAUCUGUUGCGGUACGGGAUGGACCCGCGUCUGAUGAGCUGGUUGGGGAGGUUACGACUCACCAGGGGGACGAUCAGUGUCCGACCGGGGAGGGGGAUCGGCCACAUCGGAACUGAGACGCGGUCGAAACGCCUACGGGAGGCAGCGGGGGGGAAUAUUGCACAAUGGGCGAGAGCCUGAUGCAGCACCGCCGCGUGAGAGAUGAAGGCGUUCGUGUCGUAGAGCUCUGUCGUCUAUGAGGAUAUUGACGGUACUUGAGGAGGAAGCCCCGGCUAACUACGUG